RNAcentral lists this ribosomal RNA (497 nucleotides) under uncultured bacterium. RNAcentral describes it as "partial 16S ribosomal RNA". It matches the Rfam family "Bacterial small subunit ribosomal RNA", at positions 28 to 507 of the family's 1533-position model. The record is from RNAcentral.
GAUGAACGCUGGCGGCGUGCCUAAUACAUGCAAGUCGAGCGAACAGACGAGGAGCUUGCUCCUCUGACGUUAGCGGCGGACGGGUGAGUAACACGUGGAUAACCUACCUAUAAGACUGGGAUAACUUCGGGAAACCGGAGCUAAUACCGGAUAAUAUAUUGAACCGCAUGGUUCAAUAGUGAAAGACGGUUUUGCUGUCACUUAUAGAUGGAUCCGCGCCGCAUUAGCUAGUUGGUAAGGUAACGGCUUACCAAGGCGACGAUGCGUAGCCGACCUGAGAGGGUGAUCGGCCACACUGGAACUGAGACACGGUCCAGACUCCUACGGGAGGCAGCAGUAGGGAAUCUUCCGCAAUGGGCGAAAGCCUGACGGAGCAACGCCGCGUGAGUGAUGAAGGUCUUCGGAUCGUAAAACUCUGUUAUUAGGGGAGAACAAAUGUGUAAGUAACUAUGCACGUCUUGACGGUACCUAAGCAGAAAGCCACGGCUAACUACGUG